Molecule: long non-coding RNA, 337 nt
Filed under: Marmota monax (woodchuck)
Lineage: Eukaryota; Metazoa; Chordata; Mammalia; Rodentia; Sciuridae
Source: RNAcentral
UAUGCACCCAGGGGAAGUUGUACCUUUCUUUUUUCAGAAAGAAUGGCAUUCAUACCAAAGUAAGUCUAUAAGGUCAACAUAGGCAGUUGCAUGAUAUUGGAGAGAACACAUUAAGCAAUGGUUGCAGCCUUAGAUUAACUUGAAACUAAUGAACAUCUCCCCAGGACAAUAAAGCAACACUGCCACAGACACCUGCCCCUGCACAGACUGUGCAACAACAUAGGGCUGCUAUCACCAAACCUAGGAAACUAUCCAGUGCAAUGUCUGCUGCAAAAGCCACCUCCCACCAAAUCACAGACAGCUGGCAUGGAACCCCAGAGGUGAAGACCCAGUGAUA